RNAcentral lists this ribosomal RNA (491 nucleotides) under uncultured bacterium. RNAcentral describes it as "partial 16S ribosomal RNA". It matches the Rfam family "Bacterial small subunit ribosomal RNA", at positions 29 to 506 of the family's 1533-position model. The record is from RNAcentral.
AGUGAACGCUGGCGGUAGGCCUAACACAUGCAAGUCGAACGGCAGCACAGUAAGAGCUUGCUCUUACGGGUGGCGAGUGGCGGACGGGUGAGGCAUACAUCGGCAUCUACUUUUUCGUGGGGGAUAACGUAGGGAAACUUACGCUAAUACCGCAUACGACCUACGGGUGAAAGCAGUAGAUCUUCGGACCUUGCGCGAUUGAAUGAGCCGAUGUCGAAUUGGCUAGUUGGCGGGGUAAAGGCCCACCAAGGCGACGAUCCGUAGCUGGUCUGAGAGGAUGAUCAGCCAAACGGGAAAUGAGAAACGGUCCAGACCCUAAGGGGAGGCAGAAGUGGGAAAUAUUGGAAAAGGGGGGAAAGCCUGAGCCAGCCAUACCGGGUGGGUGAAGAAGGCCUUCGGGUGGUAAAGCCCUUUUGUUGGGAAAGAAAAGUAGCAGGUUAAUACCGCGCUGUUCUGACGGUACCCAAAGAAUAAGCACGGGCUAACUUCGU